Molecule: ribosomal RNA, 408 nt
Filed under: uncultured bacterium
Lineage: Bacteria
Description: bacterial SSU rRNA
Rfam family: Bacterial small subunit ribosomal RNA
Source: RNAcentral
UAAGGAAUAUUGGUCAAUGGACGAAAGUCUGAACCAGCCAUGCCGCGUGGAGGAUGAAGGUCCUCUGGAUUGUAAACUUCUUUUAUCUGAGAAGAAACCCAGGAUUUCUAUUCUGGCUGACGGUACCAGAUGAAUAAGCACCGGCUAACUCCGUGCCAGCAGCCGCGGUAAUACGGAGGGUGCAAGCGUUAUCCGGAUUCACUGGGUUUAAAGGGUGCGUAGGCGGAUUGCCAAGUCCGUGGUGAAAUCUCUGGGCUUAACCCAGAAACUGCCGUGGAUACUGGCAAUCUUGAAUAUCGUGGAGGUAAGCGGAAUAUGUCAUGUAGCGGUGAAAUGCUUAGAUAUGACAUAGAACACCGAUAGCGGAGGCAGCUUGCUACACGAUCAUUGACGCUGAGGCACGAAAGC